Molecule: long non-coding RNA, 1219 nt
Organism: Pteropus alecto (black flying fox)
Lineage: Eukaryota; Metazoa; Chordata; Mammalia; Chiroptera; Pteropodidae
Exons: 3
Source: RefSeq, a predicted model, not a curated record
UAUCCUUACAAUAACUCUAUGAAGUGACUGCAUUAUCUCCCCAGUUUACAGAUGAAACUAGGGGACAAAAGAGUUACACGAAGAUUUUCGUUGUGCUCUUAGUACUUGGCAACCAGAAGCUCUUGGACCUCCAGGUUUCUGGAUAAGGAAGCAACUCAAAUAAGACAUCAGUGAUGGUGCCAGCACUUUUUAUGAUGAGAUUUGUCUACCUAUGCUUUGGACGGAGUGUCCUGAAAUAGCCCUUCUGUAUUCUUUGGGAAACGGAAAUGGAGACAGUGAGAGGGUGGGAAGAAAACCCCUCACUUCAGAUCAUACCAACUGGACUUCCAAUACAGGAUCCCAUGUAAGGUCUACUUCUGGCCAGUGAAUUGAUGAGCAAGAAGUGAAAUGAGAAGCCCAAGGGAGGCUGCAGCCUCUGAGAUCUGUGCCAACUCUCUCCAACCACAGUCUUUCCAAUGGUUAAGGGGUACGUGGGCACCAUUGCUCUGGAAUACACAAUGAAGAGUUACCAGCCUAGUUGCAGCUGCUUGGAAAUAUUUUCGGUUGGACUUGCUGAAUAUCAAUGACAAAAAGCAAUCAGCCAGAAAGCCCUUAUUACAAAAGUAUGUGCCACUUUCCAAACAAUGUAAGGCUUUAAUGGCCAAAAUAAAAGAUGUUUUUCUUCUUGGUCUCUACCUGACAGAAAGAGGGAUCCCUGGGGUUCUUAAGAAAGAGGGCAUGUGAACCCCUGCUUUUCCUAAUUUGUAUGGAAGCUGCUUAUAUCAUAAAGAGUGAGGAUGAACGGGAACUAAGAAAUAUCAAGGUGACCUCUCUUACAAUUACAAACGAUAUACUAGUGCAAAUGAAUAGAAAAAGGAAAGAAAAAAUAAUAUGUUAAGAUCAGCUAGAAUAUAUAUUCCAGAGUUUGAGCAGUGGUUCUGCCCACAUACAACCUUUAGGGCAUGUACAUAAGCAGGGGUUGGUUUAGCAAGGAAACAGAAGUUUACCUGUUCCCCAGUGAUUUACAUGAAUGAUAACCCAAAACAAACUAGCAAUUAAAAAAAAUGGCCAAAAGUCACAUUCAUAUUUGUCUGGGAAUUCAUGUUGGAGUGAGGCCUUUUGGAAUUGUAACAAUGAAAUGUUAACAUUUUGAUCAUUUUAAUCAUCAUUCAUAAAUCUUGAAGUUUUGCCAAAGUAAAUACAUUUGCUUCGGGUUAAAAUGUACCAGUUUUGUAUUUUC